This 234-nucleotide long non-coding RNA is filed under the name Brassica napus (rape). RNAcentral describes it as "long non-coding RNA (BNAP_LNC005190)". Lineage: Eukaryota; Viridiplantae; Streptophyta; Magnoliopsida; Brassicales; Brassicaceae. The record is from RNAcentral.
GUCAUAAAGUCCCGGUUUGUGAUUAAAGCGGAUUUUAAUCCAGCGGUAACAAAACCGAUCGAGUUGUAAAUAAAGCAUAUUGUAUAAUGUAUAUGUCCAAUGGCAUUUGGUUGUAAAUAUUCUAGUUUUCAAAGGGUUAUUUUAAAAAGCUUGUGAGAGUGGCUUAGGUGAUGACACCUAGGAAAUGGCACUCAUGUAAUAAACACAUGAGGCCAAGGUUUAUUUCUAAUGAUG